GAACGGCAGCACACGGUAGCCAGUGACCGGGNUGAGCGACGUGAGCGGACGGUGUGACUGAAUACAUCGUGGACCUGCCCAGACGUGGGGGAUAACGUAUGGAAACUUACGCUAAUACCGCAUACGUCCUACGGGAGAAAGCGGGGGAUCGCAAGACCUCGCGCGGUUGGAUGGACCGAUGUUCGAUUAGCUAGUUGGUAGGGUAAUGGCCUACCAAGGCGACGAUCGAUAGCUGGUCUGAGAGGAUGAUCAGCCUCACUGGGACUGAGACACGGUCCAUACUCCUACGGGAGGCAUCAGUGGGGAAUAUUGGACAAUGGGCGCAAGCCUGAUCCAUCAAUGCCGCGUGUGUGAAGAAUGCCUUCGGGUUGUAAAGCACUUUUAUCAUGAGCGAAAUACUACCGGCUAAUAUCCGGUGAGGCUGACGGUACCUGAGGAAUAAUCACCGGCUAACUUCGUGCCAGCAGCCGCGGUAAU
RNAcentral lists this ribosomal RNA (477 nucleotides) under uncultured bacterium. RNAcentral describes it as "bacterial SSU rRNA". It matches the Rfam family "Bacterial small subunit ribosomal RNA", at positions 57 to 524 of the family's 1533-position model. The record is from RNAcentral.